CGCCCCCGUGUCCUGACUGCUUCCCUGAUAACAUGCCCUCACUGUUUAUUAAGCAUGGCCGGGCUGCCUGCAGAUAAUACUAACAGGCAACCAGGCAGAAAGUCGUUCAGACACAUUCGGCCAAAUCCUCAGCUGAUGCAAAUUGGCACGAAUGCAAUGGAGUGACCUCGAUUUACACCAGUUGAUGGUCUGCCCCACGGUGUGUGGAGUCCCUUUGGCGUUGUGGCGAGGGCCGGGGAAGGACGUCACAGAGCCGGAAAUAAAACCACAGCUUGUUUUUUGGGGCAAACCAUCUGCUGACAAACCCAGGAAAGAGCAACAUUCCCAUCUGAGCGAGAUGCUCAUUUCUAGGCCAAGGGGGAGUGUGAAUGCUCAUGUCGGAGACUUCCCAUCCAUCUGGCCUGUUAAAUCAGACGUUGCAGCACAGUCCAAGAAAGGCUGUCGGGACGCUGACGCUUCUUUGUGUGAGGUGAAAUGCUGAAGAGAGUUAUCAAUGUUGUUGCCUCCGUAACCAGAGAAAACACCUUUGUGGCCUCUGCAUUUGGGGACAGCAGGCCAAGGAAGGAAUUAUUCUGGCUUUCAUUUUCUAAGUACAAUUUUUAAAGCAGGUCAGAACUUUUUGAAUUUCCAGAAAAUGUCAAUGAAGAAUUGUGCCACUAUUUUGAAUUUCAUUACCACAAAUGGGAACGUUGUCAAAGACAUGUUGAGGGGGCGGGAUAGCUCAGUGGUUUGAGCCUUGGCCUGCUAAACCUCAAGGUUGUGAAUUCAAUCCUUGAGGGGGCCACUUCAGGAGCUGGGGCAAAAAUCUGUCAGGGACAGUACUUGGUCCUGCUGUGAAGGCAGGGGACUGGACUUGAUGAUCCUUCAAGGUCCCUUCCAGUUCUAUGAGACAGGUAUAUCUCCAUAUACAACUAAAGGGAAAUUUAAUUUCAAAGAGGUUUUUCAACCAACUAUAGAUUGGGGAUAAUAUUUUCAAAAGCAGCCAAGUGACUUGGGCACUCAGGGUUCCUAAAUCACUUGGGCACCUUUGAAAUUUUUUUUUUUUUAAAUUCCAACAUUUCAAAUGUUGACCAAAAAUCAUAAAAAUAAAAAAUGCCCCAAACUUCUCGCCA
RNAcentral lists this long non-coding RNA (1112 nucleotides) under Chrysemys picta bellii (western painted turtle). RNAcentral describes it as "lncRNA (ENSCPBG00000021548.1)". Lineage: Eukaryota; Metazoa; Chordata; Testudines; Emydidae. The record is from RNAcentral.